CAGGGAGACAACAAAAUGUUUAAUAUUAUUAUUUUGUCACCUUAGGUCGAUCGGUAUCUCACAUUUUUAAUUUAUUAAGAAUUUCAUUUCCUAAGUUUUUCUAGGUCACACCCAUUAUUUUUCCUGGGCCAUUAGCUCAGGUGGUUAGAGCGCACCCCUGAUAAGGGUGAGGUCCCUGGUUCAAGUCCAGGAUGGCCCAUCUCUCUAUGUUGGGGGUAUAGCUCAGUUGGUAGAGCGCCUGCUUUGCAAGCAGGAUGUCAGCGGUUCGAGUCCGCUUACCUCCACUGAUUACCACCUCUUCCAUAAUCUGUAGAAAGGAAAUGUUUUGAGUUGUGAUCAAUUUCUGAACGAAUCUAGCUUCCUAAUGUAAUCAUUAAGAUGCUGGACUCAUUGAAUUAAUUUCAUUGUUUUCAGAGAACCUUGACAACUGCAUAGAUUAUUUUUAAAGACAAUAAGCAUCUUUAAUGAUGCAGAUUUAUUAUUUGUGCGAAUGCAUUAAUAACAAUUCUAUUAAGCUGAUGCUUCAA
This 527-nucleotide transfer RNA is filed under the name uncultured Prochlorococcus sp. RNAcentral describes it as "partial 16S-23S ribosomal RNA intergenic spacer". The stretch from base 212 to 284 matches the Rfam family "tRNA". Lineage: Bacteria; Bacillati; Cyanobacteriota; Cyanophyceae; Synechococcales; Prochlorococcaceae. The record is from RNAcentral.